AUACGGAGGGUGCAAGCGUUAUCCGGAAUCAUAGGGUUUAAAGGGUCCGUAGGCGGAUAAUUAAGUCAGGGGUGAAAUCCCACAGCUCAACUGUGGCACUGCCUUUGAUACUGGUUAUCUUGAGUUAUAGGGAAGUAGAUAGAAUAUGUAGUGUAGCAGUGAAAUGCAUAGAUAUUACAUAGAAUACCGAUUGCGAAGGCAGUCUACUAUCUGUAUACUGACGCUAAGGGACGAAAGCGUGGGGAGCGAACAGGAUUAGAAACCCUAGUAGUCC
Molecule: ribosomal RNA, 274 nt
Filed under: uncultured bacterium
Lineage: Bacteria
Description: partial 16S ribosomal RNA
Rfam family: Bacterial small subunit ribosomal RNA
Source: RNAcentral